GGAAAUUGAAGCUCAGAGUAAGAGCUGUGAGAAAUAAAACUCCCUCAAGGAAAGAUGCUUUGAUUUCUUUGAAGUAAUUUCAUUUUCUGCUACCAAAAGUCAUUUCAGAGACAGGUAAAAUACUUAUUUGCAAUGAGUCAAGCUGAACCUACUACACACUCAAUUCCUACUUGAAAUUCAAAUAACAGCUUUGUGCACAUAAAUUCUUAAAAGCAAAACAAAAUAUAUCAGGUCUGCAAAGAUUCCAUUGCCACAUUCUAGGAUGACUGCCCUCAUUUGGUUCCCCCAGAGCUUUCCCACUGACAACAAUGGCUUUGCAGACGUUGUCUGGAUUCCUCCUUGACUCAACCUCUGGUGCCUUUUUGAAGGUUCUUGGCUUCUGGAAGCCGCUCACACAUCGUGGCCACUCUCCCUGACUUCAGAGCCACACUUGUCACCAUCACAUCACUCACAACGUCACUGUCUCCUCAGCCACCUUCUCCUAUCCCUGAUGAUCUUCUCUCCCUCCUUCUGUCCUUUGUUCCAGGCAACAAUUGCUACCUCCAAUCAGGUGCCGUUUUCCAGCCCUGUUUCCCACUGGGGGAGCCAUGAGUAGAGGUCUCGGGAGAAAGAAGCUGAUUGGGUGACUUCACUUCCUCAAAGCCACGCUCGAGUCUUUUCUAAUUCUGCAGCAGGAAGACUGCCUAGCAGAAAGCUAUUUUUCUUUCCUGGGGCACCAGAGGCUGGCACUGAGGUGUGGAAGGUAGCCAGAACCUCAGGCAGACCUGGAGCUGACUCCCGAGUGUGGAACUCUCUCAGCUGGGCCAUGUGCCACUCAGGUCCAUCUGAGGGACUGCGCUCUUCCCAGAUCAAGCUGCUGUCACCACCUCAGGGGGUACCAGAAGUGGGGUGGCAUUUUCUCUGGCAGCAAAGGGAGCCGUUAAAGCCCAGGGGUGGUAGAUGGUAUGGCUGCACACAGGAUGGGGGUGUUUUGGGGAAGCAUUUUUUGGGAGGUCAGCCCUUAAGACUAUGGUGUGACUGACCUUGAGACAGCAACUGAGCUAAUUUUUCAAAUCCUUGUUCUCCAGUUAAAAAACCAAAAAUGUAAAGAUCUUGUUCAUUUUUCUCAACGCCUCCACCUUGCCAGAAGCACCUGACAUUGCCGUAGCUAAAGAAUACGGGAAAUGUGCCCGACUGCCUGGACAGCGACUGACGUGAUGGAAUCCAGAGAUGUCCCCCCAGUGUCACCCAUGGGCAAGCAGUGCGCUUUAAUGCUGCAGAAGGUGGAGGUGGAAGGAAGGGGUGGAGAAGUGCGGCCUCGGACCAACUGGAAGCAAGUCACCCCACUCAGCUCGACAGGCAUCGGGUGGGGUCACCCACUUUGUCAGCCUCUGCCACCUGUCCCCUGAGCUUCUGCACAGCCACAAAUCAGACUCAGGACCUCCCUCAGCUUUUUCUCUUUUUUUUUCUACUUUCUUUCCUUCUUUAUUUAGAGACAGGUUCUUGCUCUGUCUCCCAGGCUGGAGUGCAGUGGCAUGAUCAUGGCUCACUACAGCCUCGACCUCCCAGUCUCAAGCGAUCCUCCCACUACAGCCUCGACCUCCCAGUCUCAAGCGAUCCUCCCACCUCAGCCUCCCAAGUAACUGGAACUACAGGUACGAACAGGAUCUCUGAGAAGUCAUGAGCACAUGAGAAAAGAUCUCCGACGG
RNAcentral lists this long non-coding RNA (1688 nucleotides) under Homo sapiens (human). RNAcentral's name for it is "HSALNT0160075". Lineage: Eukaryota; Metazoa; Chordata; Mammalia; Primates; Hominidae. The record is from RNAcentral.